Long non-coding RNA from Ailuropoda melanoleuca (giant panda), 2243 nucleotides. RefSeq lists it as uncharacterized. The record is from RefSeq and is a predicted model, not a curated record. The transcript has 5 exons. NCBI's taxonomy places the organism in Eukaryota, Metazoa, Chordata, Mammalia, Carnivora, Ursidae.
CGUGUCACGUCUCCCCACCCCUGCCUCCUGAGGACUGUCAGAAGCCAUCCUGCCUUCUUCACCCAGACUCCAGAGCUACGCAGGGCGCUGACUGCCGCUCCCUUGAAGCAUUCCCUGGCCUUGUUCGUGCGCCUCUUCCCUCCUUUCUGGGCUUCAGAUUCUCUCGAGGUGGGCUCCUCUAACCUUCAGAGCAAGACAGAGCUCCGGGCUCCAGCUGAGCUCCCUGAAGGCAGGCCUCCUUUGGUGCUGUGGGGAAAUCUGGGGAGGCUCAAGUCUAAACCCCAUAAGCCUCAGCCAGGCGUCCACCAACCAUGAGGGCCCCGGCUCUCCCACUGACAGAGCUCAAGACUCAGUCGGCUUCAGAAGCCCUACUCAACAUCGGCAGCCAAGCAUGGUCUGGAAGCGGAUGGUCCUCGUCCUGACCCGUGGCCAGGUCACUGGCAGCCCAGCGCGCCACCGUCCCUAGGUCAUUCCCCUCCCUUGGUGUCCUCUCCGAGGCGUGUUAUCAUCUCCCAUUAUCGCAGGAAGAAGGACUUGCCUUACGGCCAAUCAGUUUUGCGGCAAAGACGCUUCCAGCGAAGAUGCUCCCGGCGAAAUACCAGGCGUGCCAAGAAGUGCUGCCUUUGGGAGGCCGGAACGCACCACCACUUGGCUUGGCUUUCAUCUUGCCCAGCUGCUUACCAAAGUCUUCCUCUUUCAUCUUCGAGGGCUUUAAUUGGCAGGUGGCAAGCCAAUCCAGAGGGUGCUUAUCUGAGAGUGAAGACUUCCCACAUGAUUUCUGAUCUUUGUUACAGUUUGAUGAUAACUACAUCAGCAUUUCUACUUUCCGUGGGUUUUUAUAAAAGAGGUGAGAAAAGCAGCUCUGUCUGGCAGCUGUAGAGCUCCACAUGUGGUGUACUGUCCAUCCCCGACUCCUUUCUGCUCCCACUGUUCUGGUUGUCUGUCGUCGAGUAGCGAACUACGCCGUCAGUGAUGGUAGAAGACGUGUAUACGUUUUAUUUGGGUCUAGGGUUGCCAGAUAAACCGUGAUGAAUAUUUCACCUGUAUAUAGCUUAUCUUUAAAUGUUAAAAACUUAAAAUUUAUCUUCAAAUACUAUACCUGUACAAAUUUAAUCCCAGUUAAAUUCGAAUUUUAGAUAAUAUAUUUUUUAAAAAUAGGAGUAUAUCCCAUGCAAUAUUGGGGACAUACUUAUAUUAAAAAAUUAUUCGUUGUCGAUCUUGACAUUCAAAUUUAACUGGAUGUCCUCUAUUUUUAUUUGCUAAAUCUAGCACCCGUCUUGUGGUCAUAGUCUUGUGGGUCAGGAAUUUGAGUAGGGAUUGGCAGGGGUAAAGCAUGCCUUUCCACGGGGCCUGCUCAUGCACGUGUCUGGUGCACGGGUGCGCCACGGUCUCACACGCCCUCUUCACGUGAAGUCUUGUUCUCUAGGGCUUUUCCACGCACUUAGGGAUUUGCACGCAAGGAGGCUCUGAGACCCGGCUCCAGAAGUAGGAAAUGGAAGCUGUCAGCCUCUUCAGUCUUGGAGCUCACAGCCGGGGCGACACCACUUCUGCCUACUCUUCUGGUAGAAUCACAAAACCCACCUGGCUUCACUGGGAGGGGACCUUGACCCAGCCUCGUGAUGGGAGCCGUCAUCUUUAAUCUGCCACCUCAAAGCUCAGAUGUCAUCUGUGUUUCUUACAUUGUUCCUUGAUGGCAGGUUUGGUGUUUUCCUGGGCUGGUGAGAUGUGGUACGGUCCUCUCUCGUGUUGCUGGGCGGUGGCAUCACGAGAGUAGACAACUGAAACACUCCCGACCAUUCCAUCAUCCUACAGCCGUUCUGUUUUUCACCUUGGGUACCGUGUUCACUACAGGACGCCAGGUAGUCAGCACUUCAUUAUAAAAUAGGCUUUGUGUUAGAUGGCUUUGUCCAACGGUAGGCUAAUGUUCUGAGCGCAUGGAAGGUAGGCGAGCCUAAGCUGUGAUAGGAAGGUGUACAGGCAUAUCUCUUUUCAUUGUGCUUUGCUUUAGUGCACUUGGCAGACACUGUGGUUUUUUACAAUUUGAGGGUUUGUGGCCACUGCAUGGGGCACGUCUGUCAGCACUAUUUUUCCAAUAGCGUCUGCUCACUUCUUGUCUGUGUAUCACAUUUUUGUAAUUCUUAUAAUAUUUCAUACUUUUUCAUUAUUUAUUUUACUUUUUUUUUUUUAAGAUUUUAUUUAUUUAUUCAACAGAGAGAGAGACAACCAGAGAGAGAGGGAACACA